RNAcentral lists this long non-coding RNA (522 nucleotides) under Olea europaea subsp. europaea. Lineage: Eukaryota; Viridiplantae; Streptophyta; Magnoliopsida; Lamiales; Oleaceae. The record is from RNAcentral.
AUUCAGUGCAACACACUCUCAAUUAUAGCUCCCCAAUUAGUACUCUUCCGAGAUUUCCCAAAUCCAGAACAAAAAGACCCUAAAAACCAAACCCUCCACCAAUAUAUACACACUAUCAACCUGUGGCUUCCAGCAAGAAGCUGCUGCUGCAGGUGAUAUUAACUCAUGGCUGGUAAUGAAGAGAACGGCGCCUGGGUGGCGGAGGCGGCGGCGACGACAGAGGCUUCAGGGAAAUCUUUCGGUAAGAAAUGCAGUCAUGUGGCGAAGAAGCAGCGGGCCAAGUUCUACAUUCUCCGCCGUUGCAUAGCUAUGCUUGUGUGUUGGCAUGAGCGGAACGACACUUGAGGGACAGGGCGAAGACGGUGUAUUUAUUGAUUUUCGAAGAGUAUUUUGUUGUUACAUAUAUAUAUGUUUCAUGGAUAUUGUAGUAAAUCAUUAAUUGUUAGGUGAAAGUUCUUGUGGUAAAUUAAUUUUAAAAUUAUAUUUAUUGCAUGAACUUCUACAAUCGAUUUGGGGUUUUCG